UUAUGCCUGGAGACCUUCACUUGGUUCUGUGCCAGCACUGCCCAUGAACUUCAUAGACUGUGAUCUUUGCUAAGGCCUAAAUGAAUGAAGUGUACACUUCUUUGGUUCACUGGAACUGAACAACAGCUGAAUGUUUAACCUUGAUUGCAGGUGCAGGACCGGAAGCAGAAGACAGAAAGUGGAGACCAGAUGUUUGAAGCUGGGUAAAGGCAGGGAUGGAGCAGGAACCGAGGAACAAACCUUGGAACUAGCCACUUGAUUGCCGAGCCCCAUAGAAGACAUAAUUUACAAGAAACUCAUAGAGACUCAAAAUGUAAGGUUCUCUGAAAGAAAUUGAGGUGUAGUUCUUAGGUUAAGGGAAAUGAUUAACUUGAUUUAUCUAUGAAGGUUUUUUCUCAGUGUGGAGGAAAAUAGAUAAUGUGCAUUGCCAAGUGAUUUGCAAGACAUUGAUUGACUUAGUAAACAUUUAUUGAAUAUCUACUUUAUUUAAAGCAUUGUGUUGGGCACGCUUGGGGGUAAAAUUAGAUACAGUUCUUAAACAGAAGGAAGAAAAGAAAUCCAUGUUUUUGGAAAGGCUGUGACUCAUUUAAGCUCCAUAACAUCGAGGAAGAUGAGAAUUACAAUAUUAUUAUAUGUCAUUUUUGGUAUUAAUGGGAUUGAACUUAUUAAAUAAUACAUAGUGAGUGAUAACGGUUCAAAUCCAGGUUGGAUUAGCUCAAACAUGUACUUUCUUCUCAGUACUCCAUAUUGCUUUUCUUAUUUAAAUGUCUUCAUAAUUUCUUUAAGAUAUUUUCAUAAAUUGGGAUUUAAAAUGUAUUCUGGU
This 823-nucleotide long non-coding RNA is filed under the name Homo sapiens (human). RNAcentral describes it as "non-protein coding lnc-MID1-1:20". The record is from RNAcentral. Lineage: Eukaryota; Metazoa; Chordata; Mammalia; Primates; Hominidae.